GACGAACGCUGGCGGCGUGCUUAACACAUGCAAGUGGAGCGACGAACCAGGCUUCGGCCUGGGGCAGAGCCGCGAACGGGUGAGUAACACGUGGGUAACCUGCCUCGAUGACCGGGACAACCCGGGGAAACCGGCUAAUACCGGAUGUGCUGCCUUCACAUCAGUGGAGACAGGAAAGGAAGCUUCGGCCUCCGCAUCGAGAUGGGCCCGCGGCCCAUUAGCUUGUUGGNGAGGUAAUGGCUCACCAAGGCCGCGAUGGUAGCUGGUCUGAGAGGACGAUCAGCCACACUGGGACUGAGACACGGCCCAGACUCCUACGGGAGGCAGCAGUGGGGAAUCUUGCGCAAUGCGCGAAAGCGUGACGCAGCAACGCCGCGUGGGGGAAGAAGGCCU
Molecule: ribosomal RNA, 393 nt
Filed under: uncultured bacterium
Lineage: Bacteria
Description: bacterial SSU rRNA
Rfam family: Bacterial small subunit ribosomal RNA
Source: RNAcentral